Molecule: ribosomal RNA, 510 nt
Filed under: uncultured bacterium
Lineage: Bacteria
Description: partial 16S ribosomal RNA
Rfam family: Bacterial small subunit ribosomal RNA
Source: RNAcentral
GACGAACGCUGGCGGCGUGCUUAACACAUGCAAGUCGAACGAAGAGCGAUGGAAGCUUGCUUCUAUCAAUCUUAGUGGCGAACGGGUGAGUAACGCGUAAUCAACCUGCCCUUCAGAGGGGGACAACAGUUGGAAACGACUGCUAAUACCGCAUACGAUCUAAUCUCGGCAUCGAGGAUAGAUGAAAGGUGGCCUCUACAUGUAAGCUAUCACUGAAGGAGGGGAUUGCGUCUGAUUAGCUAGUUGGAGGGGUAGCGGCCCACCAAGGCGAUGAUCAGUAGCCGGUCUGAGAGGAUGAACGGCCACAUUGGGACUGAGACACGGCCCAGACUCCUACGGGAGGCAGCAGUGGGGAAUCUUCCGCAAUGGACGAAAGUCUGACGGAGCAACGCCGCGUGAGUGAUGACGGCCUUCGGGUUGUAAAGCUCUGUUAAUCGGGACGAAAGGCCUUCUUGCGAAUAGUGAGAAGGAUUGACGGUACCGGAAUAGAAAGCCACGGCUAACUACGUG